This 207-nucleotide ribosomal RNA is filed under the name uncultured bacterium. Its description in RNAcentral is "partial 16S ribosomal RNA". It matches the Rfam family "Bacterial small subunit ribosomal RNA", at positions 568 to 774 of the family's 1533-position model. The record is from RNAcentral.
CGCGUAGGCGGUUUGUUUAGUCGGAUGUGAAAGCCCCGGGCUCAACCUGGGAAUUGCAUUCGAUACUGGCAGGCUAGAGUAUGGUAGAGGGAAGUGGAAUUCCGGGUGUAGCGGUGAAAUGCGUAGAUAUCCGGAGGAACACCAGUGGCGAAGGCGGCUUCCUGGACCAAUACUGACGCUGAGGUGCGAAAGCGUGGGGAGCAAACA